RNAcentral lists this ribosomal RNA (170 nucleotides) under uncultured bacterium. RNAcentral's name for it is "partial 16S ribosomal RNA". It matches the Rfam family "Bacterial small subunit ribosomal RNA", at positions 335 to 526 of the family's 1533-position model. The record is from RNAcentral.
CCUCCUACGGGAGGCAGCAGUGGGGAAUUUUGCGCAAUGGGGAAACCCUGACGCAGCAACGCCGCGUGGAGGAUGAAGCCCUUGGGUGUAAACUCCUUUCGAUGGGGAAGAUUAUGACGGUACCCAUAGAAGAAGCCCGGCUAACUUCGUGCCAGCAGCCGCGGUAAUAC